This 334-nucleotide unclassified non-coding RNA is filed under the name soil metagenome. Its description in RNAcentral is "partial contains 5.8S ribosomal RNA, internal transcribed spacer 2, and large subunit ribosomal RNA". The stretch from base 1 to 120 matches the Rfam family "5.8S ribosomal RNA", at positions 35 to 154 of the family's 154-position model. The record is from RNAcentral.
GAUGAAGAACGUAGCGAAAUGCGAUAAGUAAUGUGAAUUGCAGAAUUCAGUGAAUCAUCGAAUCUUUGAACGCACAUUGCGCCCGCCAGUAUUCUGGCGAGCAUGCCUGUUCGAGCGUCAUUUCAACCAUCAAGCCCCAGGCUUGUGUUGGAGCCCUGCGGCUACCGCAGCCUCCCAAAACCAGUGGCGGGCUCGCUAUCACACCGAGUGCAGUAGUUUACUCUUCGCUCAGGGCGUGUGGCGGGUGCUAGCCGUGAAACCCCCAACUUCUCAAGGUUGACCUCGGAUCAGGUAGGAAUACCCGCUGAACUUAAGCAUAUCAAUAAGCGGAGGA